UACGGGGGGGGCAAGCGUUGUUCGGAAUUACUGGGCGUAAAGGGCUCGUAGGCGGCCAACUAAGUCCGACGUGAAAUCCCUCGGCUUAACCGGGGAACUGCGUCUGAUACUGGAUGGCUUGAGUUUGGGAGAGGGAUGCGGAAUUCCAGGUGUAGCGGUGAAAUGCGUAGAUAUCUGGAGGAACACCGGUGGCGAAGGCGGCAUCCUGGACCAACACUGACGCUGAGGAGCGAAAGCCAGGGGAGCAAACGGG
This 253-nucleotide ribosomal RNA is filed under the name uncultured bacterium. RNAcentral describes it as "partial 16S ribosomal RNA". It matches the Rfam family "Bacterial small subunit ribosomal RNA", at positions 524 to 776 of the family's 1533-position model. The record is from RNAcentral.